AGCAGUGACCCAUCCUCACAUCUUGUGCCACGUGUCACGGAACUCCUGCCUGGUUAUGUUCAGAGCUGGCGCAGAAGCUACUGGGGACUUGACCUGAGGGAAGAAAAGAUUUGAGUUGGCUCCAAUCCCAUUAGCACAACUAGCUGGAGAUAAGCCAUCUGUCACUGCUGCUGCUGGCUUCAACUGCCACUCUAAUUGACAAUGAACCCAGAGACCUGUAAUAAUUGUGGCUGCUCAGUGACUUCGACAGGUAAUGCCUUCCUUUUAGAAUCCAUCAAGCCCCAUCUGUGCCUGCUUGGUGCUUCUCUCCCGGGAUGCUGCUCUCUGGGAGCCUGCAGAGCUCUGCCCAGACCAAGGGCUCGCCUCAUUAGGGAGGCUUUGCUGGGGCCCAGGGACGGCAGGCCCACAGUGAAAUUGAAAACCUCCUACAACUUGUUGUAAGAUUUCAAUCCUAUCGUCAGCCAUUGGCAACAUCUGUCAUUCAGCCCAACCUGUUUUGGGGAGAUU
This 507-nucleotide long non-coding RNA is filed under the name Homo sapiens (human). RNAcentral's name for it is "HSALNT0026361". Lineage: Eukaryota; Metazoa; Chordata; Mammalia; Primates; Hominidae. The record is from RNAcentral.